CGAUUAUAUAAAAGUAAAUGCGCCACAGUCGGCGGACGCGCGAAGCAGGAUGUUGAAUAUCACUUUACAUUUUUCAAAACACUAAACCCGACAGAUUUGUUUACGAAUUUCUUUGUAAUAACCGCUCGCUUGACCCUAUAGACCAGCGGGGUCAAGCGAGCGGAAAAAUUGCUCCCAAUUAGUGGUUUUGAAACGACUCAAGGUAUGUGGCACUCAUACAGGAAAUGACAUAAACGGGUCAAAACUAACAAUAUGUCGCAGGGCGGACGCACUGAACCUGCUCUGUACCGGAUGCUUCGAGACAGGUUUCUAUAGUUUUGGGAGGUGGAUGCUGAGGACCUGAGCUGAGUGCGCGCUUCUCAUCCAUCACUGUCAUCCUCUGCAAGUUCAGCGCAGACGACACACUUUCACUGUGACGCCGAGCCGGUGGGCUGUGGCUGUCGCAGGUGCAGCUGCUGUCUGGGGCAGAGAGAGGAGACAAACACCACAGACAGUGAAUGCUGGAGUGUUGACAGACAGAACAGUAUAGAGAUGACAGGAAACCAGGAUUCAAACAGAAAUCAAGGUGCCGCUCUGCAGCUCUGGAUCCCUACGUCAGGUCCUGAUUGCAAGUUACUGGGCCGGGGAUAUCAAGUGCGAGAGGAGAAAUGUGAAAUUCCAGAUAAAACCCGGAGCCUUAAGGAGCCAUGAAGUGCAUGUAAUGAGGAAAGUGAUGGGGUAUGGGUGUGCUGAGC
This 734-nucleotide long non-coding RNA is filed under the name Sinocyclocheilus anshuiensis. RNAcentral's name for it is "lncRNA (ENSSANG00000013530.1)". The record is from RNAcentral. Lineage: Eukaryota; Metazoa; Chordata; Actinopteri; Cypriniformes; Cyprinidae.